GACGAACGCUGGCGGCGUGCUUAACACAUGCAAGUCGAACGGAAAGGCCCUGCUUGCAGGGUACUCGAGUGGCGAACGGGUGAGUAACACGUGGGUGAUCUGCCCUGCACUUCGGGAUAAGCCUGGGAAACUGGGUCUAAUACCGGAUAGGAGCCAUUUUUAGUGUGAUGGUUGGAAAGUUUUUUCGGUGUAGGAUGAGCUCGCGGCCUAUCAGCUUGUUGGUGGGGUAAUGGCCUACCAAGGCGGCGACGGGUAGCCGGCCUGAGAGGGUGGACGGCCACAUUGGGACUGAGAUACGGCCCAGACUCCUACGGGAGGCAGCGGUGGGGAAUAGUGCACAAUGGGCGCAAGCCUGAUGCAGCGACGCCGCGGGGGGGAUGACGGCCUUCGGGUUGUAAACUCCUUUCGCUAGGGACGAAGCUUUUUGUGACGGUACCUAGAUAAGAAGCACCGGCUAACUACGUG
RNAcentral lists this ribosomal RNA (465 nucleotides) under uncultured bacterium. RNAcentral describes it as "partial 16S ribosomal RNA". It matches the Rfam family "Bacterial small subunit ribosomal RNA", at positions 28 to 507 of the family's 1533-position model. The record is from RNAcentral.